GAUGAACGCUGGCGGCGUGCCUAAUACAUGCAAGUCGAACGCAUUGUGGUUGAAAUGAUAUGAAGAACUUGUUCAGAUUUGAUUUUCAACAUUGCAAUGAGUGGCGAACGGGUGAGUAACACGUGGGAAACCUACCUCUUAGCAGGGGAUAACAUUUGGAAACAAAUGCUAAUACCGUAUAAUAAUUAAAAACCGCAUGGUUUUAGUUUAAAAGAUGGUCUUGCUAUCACUAAGAGAUGGUCCCGCGGUGUAUUAGUUAGUUGGUGAGGUAAAUGGCUCACCAAGACAAUGAUACAUAGCCGAGUUGAGAGACUGACCGGCCACAAUGGGACUGAGACACGGCCCAUACUCCUACGGGAGGCAGCAGUAGGGAAGUCUUCCACAAUGGACGAAAGUCUGAUGGAG
This 405-nucleotide ribosomal RNA is filed under the name uncultured bacterium. RNAcentral's name for it is "bacterial SSU rRNA". It matches the Rfam family "Bacterial small subunit ribosomal RNA", at positions 28 to 391 of the family's 1533-position model. The record is from RNAcentral.